This 341-nucleotide long non-coding RNA is filed under the name Pan troglodytes (chimpanzee). RNAcentral describes it as "lincRNA". Lineage: Eukaryota; Metazoa; Chordata; Mammalia; Primates; Hominidae. The record is from RNAcentral.
AGCUGCCCACAGCAGAAUCCACAUGCCGUCCAUCUGGUCCAACCUCACGCAGAGCCACAACUGUGCUGGCGCCUGGAGCUGCCAGCCCCACUGCAGCAGCCGGACUGACAUUCAGACAUGGAGCAAGUUGGACUGCAUAGGGACCCACCAGUGAGAUUGACGCUGUCUGUAAAGGGUUCUCCAGGGAGGCUGCUCUGCCAAGUCUGGUAUUUCAUGAAUAGAUCUGAAAACAGACAUUAUCUCUUCUCCCAGUGAAGAGAGAGUGAUGAAGGCUCAGGACAAAAGGAGGCAGUGGGAUGAUGCCGCCAAGGGACCGUUCUGAAGAGCCAUCAGCAAAAAGC